GUGGGGAAUCUUGCGCAAUGGGCGAAAGCCUGACGCAGCCAUGCCGCGUGAAUGAUGAAGGUCUUAGGAUUGUAAAAUUCUUUCACCGGGGACGAUAAUGACGGUACCCGGAGAAGAAGCUCCGGCUAACUUCGUGCCAGCAGCCGCGGUAAUACGAAGGGGGCUAGCGUUGCUCGGAAUUACUGGGCGUAAAGGGCGCGUAGGCGGACAGCUUAGUCAGAGGUGAAAGCCCAUGGCUCAACCUUGGAAUUGCCUUUGAUACUGGCUGUCUUGAGUUUGGGAGAGGUGAGUGGAACUCCGAGUGUAGAGGUGAAAUUCGUAGAUAUUCGGAAGAACACCAGUGGCGAAGGCGACUCACUGGCCCAAUACUGACGCUGAGGCGCGAAAGCGUGGGGAGCAAACAGGAUUAGAAACCCGAGUAGUCC
RNAcentral lists this ribosomal RNA (425 nucleotides) under uncultured bacterium. RNAcentral's name for it is "partial 16S ribosomal RNA". It matches the Rfam family "Bacterial small subunit ribosomal RNA", at positions 354 to 796 of the family's 1533-position model. The record is from RNAcentral.